AUGCGAGGGAGCCUUUUCCCGAGGUCGACCUUGCUGGAUUCUUCAACAGCCACCCAAAGCUUCGCUCGCAAGUUUGAGGUCCAUGAUGCAGCCCCGGUCUGCAUCCCGAUGGUGCCCCUCACCUGUUCGACGGAGUGCUCGACCCAGGUCGACGAAGCCCAUGACGCCGCCACCGACGUUUCUGCUGUUCUGCACGUGUCGCUCCUCCCAGCAGCCACACCGAUGCUCGUCACUGACCUCCUUCACUCGGGUACCGACGCUGUCGAUUCGAUGCAGCUGUUUCGGAACCAUGACCUGGAGGUCUCGCCGCCCACAAGACACGAAGGGCUGCCGAUACGGCCGGCGCCAUGGCCAUCAUUUCUGGUGCAGCAUAGUGCAGAGGGGAAUGAGGUUCGACCCACUCCAUGGCCGUCGUUUGCUUGCUCUCAUGAAGAGGACAUAGCUUCCGGAUGA
Molecule: ribosomal RNA, 453 nt
Filed under: Triticum aestivum (bread wheat)
Lineage: Eukaryota; Viridiplantae; Streptophyta; Magnoliopsida; Poales; Poaceae
Description: partial small subunit ribosomal RNA
Source: RNAcentral